AAAGCAAAGAAGCUCAGGAUCAGUGAGACUUUUCCCCUUUCUCUCUCACUCCGUGCUUAGGAGAAUUAAUUUCGCUGGACCCUGAUGAACUGAAGCAUGAAAUGUUCAUACUUAAAUUCCUUCUGAAGACAAAUGUAAGGGACAGCAACAACAACUCUGUUAGAGCACCAAGAAGAUGCAACUCCAUUAAUUAUCUAGUCAGUUUUCCAAUGUGUAUUAAUUUGAAUUUAUUAACAUGGGCCUGCGUCAAGAAUUUUGUUCCAGAUUUUCCCAAUUUUCAGCAUAUUUAUCACAGGAUUUUGAUUUGGUCCAUUGUACAGGCAGGCUA
Long non-coding RNA from Mauremys reevesii (Reeves's turtle), 328 nucleotides. RefSeq lists it as uncharacterized. Lineage: Eukaryota; Metazoa; Chordata; Testudines; Geoemydidae. The transcript has 3 exons. The record is from RefSeq and is a predicted model, not a curated record.